Molecule: ribosomal RNA, 1651 nt
Filed under: Staphylococcus aureus
Lineage: Bacteria; Bacillati; Bacillota; Bacilli; Caryophanales; Staphylococcaceae
Description: partial 23S ribosomal RNA
Rfam family: Bacterial large subunit ribosomal RNA
Source: RNAcentral
GGAGCGCUUAGAAGUGAGAAUGCCGGUGUGAGUAGCGAAAGACGGGUGAGAAUCCCGUCCACCGAUUGACUAAGGUUUCCAGAGGAAGGCUCGUCCGCUCUGGGUUAGUCGGGUCCUAAGCUGAGGCCGACAGGCGUAGGCGAUGGAUAACAGGUUGAUAUUCCUGUACCACCUAUAAUCGUUUUAAUCGAUGGGGGGACGCAGUAGGAUAGGCGAAGCGUGCGAUUGGAUUGCACGUCUAAGCAGUAAGGCUGAGUAUUAGGCAAAUCCGGUACUCGUUAAGGCUGAGCUGUGAUGGGGAGAAGACAUUGUGUCUUCGAGUCGUUGAUUUCACACUGCCGAGAAAAGCCUCUAGAUAGAAAAUAGGUGCCCGUACCGCAAACCGACACAGGUAGUCAAGAUGAGAAUUCUAAGGUGAGCGAGCGAACUCUCGUUAAGGAACUCGGCAAAAUGACCCCGUAACUUCGGGAGAAGGGGUGCUCUUUAGGGUUAACGCCCAGAAGAGCCGCAGUGAAUAGGCCCAAGCGACUGUUUAUCAAAAACACAGGUCUCUGCUAAACCGUAAGGUGAUGUAUAGGGGCUGACGCCUGCCCGGUGCUGGAAGGUUAAGAGGAGUGGUUAGCUUCUGCGAAGCUACGAAUCGAAGCCCCAGUAAACGGCGGCCGUAACUAUAACGGUCCUAAGGUAGCGAAAUUCCUUGUCGGGUAAGUUCCGACCCGCACGAAAGGCGUAACGAUUUGGGCACUGUCUCAACGAGAGACUCGGUGAAAUCAUAGUACCUGUGAAGAUGCAGGUUACCCGCGACAGGACGGAAAGACCCCGUGGAGCUUUACUGUAGCCUGAUAUUGAAAUUCGGCACAGCUUGUACAGGAUAGGUAGGAGCCUUUGAAACGUGAGCGCUAGCUUACGUGGAGGCGCUGGUGGGAUACUACCCUAGCUGUGUUGGCUUUCUAACCCGCACCACUUAUCGUGGUGGGAGACAGUGUCAGGCGGGCAGUUUGACUGGGGCGGUCGCCUCCUAAAAGGUAACGGAGGCGCUCAAAGGUUCCCUCAGAAUGGUUGGAAAUCAUUCAUAGAGUGUAAAGGCAUAAGGGAGCUUGACUGCGAGACCUACAAGUCGAGCAGGGUCGAAAGACGGACUUAGUGAUCCGGUGGUUCCGCAUGGAAGGGCCAUCGCUCAACGGAUAAAAGCUACCCCGGGGAUAACAGGCUUAUCUCCCCCAAGAGUUCACAUCGACGGGGAGGUUUGGCACCUCGAUGUCGGCUCAUCGCAUCCUGGGGCUGUAGUCGGUCCCAAGGGUUGGGCUGUUCGCCCAUUAAAGCGGUACGCGAGCUGGGUUCAGAACGUCGUGAGACAGUUCGGUCCCUAUCCGUCGUGGGCGUAGGAAAUUUGAGAGGAGCUGUCCUUAGUACGAGAGGACCGGGAUGGACAUACCUCUGGUGUACCAGUUGUCGUGCCAACGGCAUAGCUGGGUAGCUAUGUGUGGACGGGAUAAGUGCUGAAAGCAUCUAAGCAUGAAGCCCCCCUCAAGAUGAGAUUUCCCAACUUCGGUUAUAAGAUCCCUCAAAGAUGAUGAGGUUAAUAGGUUCGAGGUGGAAGCAUGGUGACAUGUGGAGCUGACGAAUACUAAUCGAUCGAAGACUUAAUCAA